This 82-nucleotide transfer RNA is filed under the name Endomicrobium sp. Its description in RNAcentral is "tRNA-Leu". It matches the Rfam family "tRNA". Rfam says of the family: Transfer RNA (tRNA) molecules are approximately 80 nucleotides in length. Their secondary structure includes four short double-helical elements and three loops (D, anti-codon, and T loops). Further hydrogen bonds mediate the characteristic L-shaped molecular structure. tRNAs have two regions of fundamental functional importance: the anti-codon, which is responsible for specific mRNA codon recognition, and the 3' end, to which the tRNAs corresponding amino acid is attached (by aminoacyl-tRNA synthetases). tRNAs cope with the degeneracy of the genetic code in two manners: having more than one tRNA (with a specific anti-codon) for a particular amino acid; and 'wobble' base-pairing, i.e. permitting non-standard base-pairing at the 3rd anti-codon position. The record is from RNAcentral. Lineage: Bacteria; Pseudomonadati; Elusimicrobiota; Endomicrobiia; Endomicrobiales; Endomicrobiaceae.
GCGGGCGUGGCGGAAUUGGCAGACGCGUAUGGCUUAGGACCAUAUGCCGCAAGGUAUGGGGGUUCAAAUCCCUUCGCCCGCA